AUUGAACGCUGGCGGAAUGCUUUACACAUGCAAGUCGAGCGGCAGCGCGGGGCAACCUGGCGGCGAGCGGCGAACGGGUGAGUAACAUAUCGGAACGUACCCAGUCGUGGGGGAUAACUAUCCGAAAGGAUAGCUAAUACCGCAUACGACCUGAGGGUGAAAGCGGGGGACCGAAAGGCCUCGCGCGAUUGGAGCGGCCGAUAUCGGAUUAGCUAGUUGGUGAGGUAAAGGCUCACCAAGGCGACGAUCCGUAGCUGGUCUGAGAGGACGACCAGCCACACUGGAACUGAGACACGGUCCAGACUCCUACGGGAGGCAGCAGUGGGGAAUUUUGGACAAUGGGGGCAACCCUGAUCCAGCCAUUCCGCGUGAGUGAAGAAGGCCUUCGGG
RNAcentral lists this ribosomal RNA (390 nucleotides) under uncultured bacterium. Its description in RNAcentral is "bacterial SSU rRNA". It matches the Rfam family "Bacterial small subunit ribosomal RNA", at positions 29 to 422 of the family's 1533-position model. The record is from RNAcentral.